Molecule: transfer RNA, 74 nt
Filed under: Desulfurobacterium thermolithotrophum DSM 11699
Lineage: Bacteria; Pseudomonadati; Aquificota; Aquificia; Desulfurobacteriales; Desulfurobacteriaceae
Rfam family: tRNA
About the family: Transfer RNA (tRNA) molecules are approximately 80 nucleotides in length.
Source: Rfam by way of RNAcentral
GCGCCCGUAGCUCAGUAGGAUAGAGCGCGAGAUUCCUAAUCUCGAGGCCGCAGGUUCGAUCCCUGCCGGGCGCA